CAUGUCCUUUAGAUUAUAAUUUAAGGUUUUGUCUGCUCAAUGAUUAAUUAAAUUGCCGCAAUAUUUUGAUUGUGCUAAGGUAGCAUAGUAAUUAGCUUCUUAAUUAGGAGCUGGAAUGAAAGAUUUGACAAGAAAAUUUCUGUCUCUGUUUAAUUUAUUUUUGAAUUUUAUUUUUAAGUGAAAAAGCUUAAAUGUUUUUAAAAGACAAGAAGACCCUAUAGAGUUUAACAUUAGAGAUAAUUUAUUUUAGUAAUUAAUUUUGUUUAUUUAAUGUUUAGUUGGGGUAAUUAGAAGAUAUAAGAAAUUCUUUUUUUGUUAGUUAAUGAUUUUUAAAUAUUAGUACUAAUUAUUUUGAGUUAAAAACAAAUUACCUUAGGGAUAACAGCGUAAUUUUUCUUUAUAGUUCUUAUUGAAAGAAAAGAUUACGACCUCGAUGUUGGAUUAAAAUAAAAUUCUGAUGCAGAAGUUAGAAAUUUUGGUCUGUUCGACCAUUAAAAUUUUACAUGAUCUGAGUUAAAAUCGGCGUAAGCCAGAUUGGAUUCUAUCUUUAAAUUAAAUUAAUAUAUUUUAGUACGAAAGGGCCAAAUAUAAAUUAAAAUAAUUA
Molecule: ribosomal RNA, 604 nt
Filed under: Lyropaeus sp. UPOL A00574
Lineage: Eukaryota; Metazoa; Arthropoda; Insecta; Coleoptera; Lycidae
Description: partial 16S ribosomal RNA
Rfam family: Bacterial large subunit ribosomal RNA (bases 378-536)
Source: RNAcentral